RNAcentral lists this ribosomal RNA (375 nucleotides) under unidentified archaeon. Its description in RNAcentral is "bacterial SSU rRNA". It matches the Rfam family "Archaeal small subunit ribosomal RNA", at positions 90 to 467 of the family's 1478-position model. The record is from RNAcentral.
UCAGUAACACGUAGUCAACAUGCCCAGGGGACGUGGAUAACCUCGGGAAACUGAGGAUAAACCGCGAUAGGUCAUUAUUUCUGGAAUGAUUGAUGGCCCAAAUCUAUAUGGCCUCUGGAUUGGACUGCGGCCGAUCAGGCUGUUGGUGAGGUAAUGGCCCACCAAACCUGUUACCGGUACGGGCUCUGAGAGGAGGAGCCCGGAGAUGGGCACUGAGACAAGGGCCCAGGCCCUAUGGGGCGCAGCAGGCGCGAAACCUCUGCAAUAGGCGAAAGCCUGACAGGGUUACUCUGAGUGGUUUCCGCUAAGGAAACCUUUUGGCACCUCUACAAAUGGUGCAGAAUAAGGGGUGGGCAAGUCUGGUGCCAGCAGCCG